GAUAAGAAAAGCACUUAAACCUUUAUUCUAGGGGCUACAACCCUACACCUAAUUCGGCCAUCUUACC
Molecule: transfer RNA, 67 nt
Filed under: Siren lacertina (greater siren)
Lineage: Eukaryota; Metazoa; Chordata; Amphibia; Caudata; Sirenidae
Description: tRNA-Tyr
Source: RNAcentral